GCGGGUUUAGCUCAGUUGGGAGAGCGUCAGACUGAAGCCAUACUUCAUCAUCGAUAUCUGAAGGUCAUGUGUUCGAUCCACAUAAACCGCA
This 91-nucleotide transfer RNA is filed under the name Fusarium acuminatum. RNAcentral describes it as "tRNA-Phe". It matches the Rfam family "tRNA". Rfam says of the family: Transfer RNA (tRNA) molecules are approximately 80 nucleotides in length. Their secondary structure includes four short double-helical elements and three loops (D, anti-codon, and T loops). Further hydrogen bonds mediate the characteristic L-shaped molecular structure. tRNAs have two regions of fundamental functional importance: the anti-codon, which is responsible for specific mRNA codon recognition, and the 3' end, to which the tRNAs corresponding amino acid is attached (by aminoacyl-tRNA synthetases). tRNAs cope with the degeneracy of the genetic code in two manners: having more than one tRNA (with a specific anti-codon) for a particular amino acid; and 'wobble' base-pairing, i.e. permitting non-standard base-pairing at the 3rd anti-codon position. Lineage: Eukaryota; Fungi; Ascomycota; Sordariomycetes; Hypocreales; Nectriaceae. RNAcentral also lists the same sequence under 1 other name. The record is from RNAcentral.